Molecule: ribosomal RNA, 253 nt
Filed under: uncultured prokaryote
Description: partial 16S ribosomal RNA
Rfam family: Bacterial small subunit ribosomal RNA
Source: RNAcentral
UACGAAGGUGGCAAGCGUUAUUCGGAUUUACUGGGCGUACAGGGAGCGUAGGCGGUUCGGUAAGCCCUUUGUGAAAUCUUCAGGCUUAACCUGGAACAGUCGGAGGGGACUGCCGGGCUAGAGGACGGGAGGGGAGCGCGGAAUUCCCGGUGUAGCGGUGAAAUGCGUAGAUAUCGAGAGGAACACCUGCGGCGAAGGCGGGUUGCUGGGCUGACACUGACGCUGAUGCGCGAAAGCCAGGGGAGCAAACGGG